This 371-nucleotide ribosomal RNA is filed under the name Bacillus amyloliquefaciens. RNAcentral's name for it is "bacterial SSU rRNA". It matches the Rfam family "Bacterial small subunit ribosomal RNA", at positions 111 to 478 of the family's 1533-position model. The record is from RNAcentral. Lineage: Bacteria; Bacillati; Bacillota; Bacilli; Caryophanales; Bacillaceae.
UAACACGUGGGUAACCUGCCUGUAAGACUGGGAUAACUCCGGGAAACCGGGGCUAAUACCGGAUGGUUGUUUGAACCGCAUGGUUCACACAUAAAAGGUGGCUUCGGCUACCACUUACAGAUGGACCCGCGGCGCAUUAGCUAGUUGGUGAGGUAACGGCUCACCAACGCGACGAUGCGUAGCCGACCUGAGAGGGUGAUCGGCCACACUGGGACUGAGACACGGCCCAGACUCCUACGGGAGGCAGCAAUAGGGAAUCUUCCGCAAUGGACGAAAGUCUGACGGACCAACGCCGCGUGAGUGAUGAAGGUUUUCGGAUCGUAAAGCUCUGUUGUUAGGGAAGAACAAGUGCCGUUCAAAUAGGGCGGCAC